CCUACGGGAGGCAGCAGUGGGGGAUAUUGCACAAUGGGGGGAACCCUGAUGCAGCGACGCCGCGUGGGUGAAGAAGCGCCUCGGCGCGUAAAGCCCUGUCAGCAGGGAAGAAAAUGACGGUACCUGAAGAAGAAGCUCCGGCUAAUUUCGUGCCAGCAGCCGCGGUAAUACGGAGGGGGCAAGCGUUAUCCGGAUUUACUGGGUGUAAGGGGGGCGCAGACGGCGAUGCAAGCCAGGAGUGAAAGUCCGGGGCCCAACCCCGGGACUGGUCUUGGAACUGCGUGGCUGGAGUGCAGGAGGGGCAGGCGGAAUUCCUGGUGUAGCGGUGAAAUGCGUAGAUAUCAGGAGGAACACCGGUGGCGAAGGCGGCCUGCUGGACUGCAACUGACGUUGAGGCCCGAAAGCGUGGGGAGCAAACAGGAUUAGAUACCCGAGUAGUC
This 440-nucleotide ribosomal RNA is filed under the name uncultured bacterium. Its description in RNAcentral is "partial 16S ribosomal RNA". It matches the Rfam family "Bacterial small subunit ribosomal RNA", at positions 338 to 795 of the family's 1533-position model. The record is from RNAcentral.